AUUGAACGCUGGCGGCAUGCUUUACACAUGCAAGUCGAACGGUAACAGGUUAAGCUGACGAGUGGCGAACGGGUGAGUAAUGCAUCGGAACGUGCCCGGUCGUGGGGGAUAACGCAGCGAAAGCUGCGCUAAUACCGCAUACGAUCUGAGGAUGAAAGCGGGGGACCGUAAGGCCUCGCGCGAUCGGAGCGGCCGAUGUCAGAUUAGGUAGUUGGUGGGGUAAAGGCUCACCAAGCCGACGAUCUGUAGCUGGUCUGAGAGGACGACCAGCCACACUGGGACUGAGACACGGCCCAGACUCCUACGGGAGGCAGCAGUGGGGAAUUUUGGACAAUGGGCGCAAGCCUGAUCCAGCAAUGCCGCGUGCAGGAAGAAGGCCUUCGGGUUGUAAACUGCUUUUGUACGGAGCGAAAAGGUCUUCCCUAAUACGGGAGGCUGAUGACGGUACCGUAAGAAUAAGCACCGGCUAACUACGUGCCAGCAGCCGCGGUAAUACGUAGGGUGCGAGCGUUAAUCGGAAUUACUGGGCGUAAAGCGUGCGCAGGCGGUUUUGUAAGACAGGCGUGAAAUCCCCGGGCUCAACCUGGGAAUGGCGCUUGUGACUGCAAAGCUGGAGUGCGGCAGAGGGGGAUGGAAUUCCGCGUGUAGCAGUGAAAUGCGUAGAUAUGCGGAGGAACACCGAUGGCGAAGGCAAUCCCCUGGGCCUGCACUGACGCUCAUGCACGAAAGCGUGGGGAGCAAACA
RNAcentral lists this ribosomal RNA (744 nucleotides) under uncultured Hydrogenophaga sp. RNAcentral describes it as "bacterial SSU rRNA". It matches the Rfam family "Bacterial small subunit ribosomal RNA", at positions 28 to 774 of the family's 1533-position model. Lineage: Bacteria; Pseudomonadati; Pseudomonadota; Betaproteobacteria; Burkholderiales; Comamonadaceae. The record is from RNAcentral.